Molecule: ribosomal RNA, 459 nt
Filed under: uncultured bacterium
Lineage: Bacteria
Description: partial 16S ribosomal RNA
Rfam family: Bacterial small subunit ribosomal RNA
Source: RNAcentral
CCUACGGGUGGCAGCAGUGAGGAAUAUUGGUCAAUGGCCGAGAGGCUGAACCAGCCAAGUCGCGUGAGGGAAGACGGCCCUACGGGUUGUAAACCUCUUUUGUCGGGGAGCAAAGCGAACCACGUGUGGCUCAUUGAGAGUACCCGAAGAAAAAGCAUCGGCUAACUCCGUGCCAGCAGCCGCGGUAAUACGGAGGAUGCGAGCGUUAUCCGGAUUUAUUGGGUUAAAGGGGUGCGCAGGCGGAGGUGCAAGUCAGCGGUAAAAUUGCGGGGCUCAACCCCGUACUGCCGUUGAAACUGCAUCCCUUGAGUGCGCGAGAAGUAUGCGGAAUGCGUGGUGUAGCGGUGAAAUGCAUAGAUAUCACGCAGAACUCCGAUUGCGAAGGCAGCAUACCGGCGCGCAACUGACGCUCAUGCACGAAAGCGUGGGUAUCGAACAGGAUUAGAUACCCCGGUAGUC